Molecule: ribosomal RNA, 495 nt
Filed under: Triticum aestivum (bread wheat)
Lineage: Eukaryota; Viridiplantae; Streptophyta; Magnoliopsida; Poales; Poaceae
Description: partial small subunit ribosomal RNA
Source: RNAcentral
AUGUUCCAUGAGCAGAACUGUGGAAGGGUACUUGACAAGGAGAAGUUUGAGAAGGAGUUGGCCAAGCUGAAGUGUGAACAUGAAAGGGAGUUGGUCAAGCUUAAGAUGAAAAAUGACAAGCUUUGCAUUGAGUACACCAAGCUUGUUGAUGAUGUAUCCAAGAUGUUUGAUUGGCAGGAUGGUAGGGUGGACAAGGUGUACCAGAAACAAGUGGAGGAGGAAGAACUUGAGAAGAAGAAGAUGGAGCUAGAGGAGAAAGCUAUGUUGGAGGUGCAGAUGGAAAAGCUCAAACUUGCAAAAGAGCAGAGGUGCAUUUUGCAGAGCCAAGCUGAUAUCAUCAAGAACACCAGGAAGGCUAUGAAGGAUGUUGAAGUUGACAGAGAUGUUCUUAAGAAGGAGAAGGAAAAGCUUGAGCUUGUUGUUGCUGAGCUGCUGAAAGAUGGGUAUGGCAGCAAGGAGAAGUUAGAGCAAAUCAAGGCCAUCCUUGAGUCUUGA